RNAcentral lists this long non-coding RNA (358 nucleotides) under Sorghum bicolor (sorghum). RNAcentral describes it as "long non-coding RNA (SBIC_LNC012963)". Lineage: Eukaryota; Viridiplantae; Streptophyta; Magnoliopsida; Poales; Poaceae. The record is from RNAcentral.
GGGUUUCCUUUUUUUGUUUUUGUUUCAUGAAUUUGGAAUGUGGUUGACAUGAAUAGUUAUUGGUAAACUAUUAGUUGUUGUUAAUAUUAAUUGUUUCUAAUAAUGGUAGAUAAUAAUUGGUAAUAUUAAUUAUGUCUAAUAAUCGUUUCUAACACAAUUAUUACUAAUAAUGAUAGCUAAUAAUUGUUGCUAAUAAUGGUAGAUAAUAAUUGUUACUUAUUAAUUGUUGCUAAUAAUGGUAGAUAAUAAUUGGUACUAUUAAUUAUGACUAAUAAUCGUUUCUAAAACAAUUAUUACUAAUAAUGAUAGCUAAUAAUAGUUGCUAAUAAUGGUAGAUAAUAACUAUUACUUAUUAAUU